CGAAGGCAAGCGGAUCUCUUAAAGACUGUUCUCAGUUCGGACUGCAGUCUGCAACUCGACUGCACGAAGCUGGAAUCGCUAGUAAUCGCGGAUCAGCACGCCGCGGUGAAUACGUUCCCGGGCCUUGUACACACCGCCCGUCACACCAUGGAAGUCUGCAAUGCCCGAAGCCGGUGGCCUAACCACUUAUGUGGAAGGAGCCGUCUAAGGCAGGGCAGAUGACUGGGGUGAAGUCGUAACAAGGUAUC
RNAcentral lists this ribosomal RNA (248 nucleotides) under uncultured bacterium. RNAcentral describes it as "partial 16S ribosomal RNA". It matches the Rfam family "Bacterial small subunit ribosomal RNA", at positions 1258 to 1500 of the family's 1533-position model. The record is from RNAcentral.